RNAcentral lists this ribosomal RNA (350 nucleotides) under uncultured Chlorobiota bacterium. RNAcentral describes it as "bacterial SSU rRNA". It matches the Rfam family "Bacterial small subunit ribosomal RNA", at positions 28 to 381 of the family's 1533-position model. The record is from RNAcentral. Lineage: Bacteria; Pseudomonadati; Chlorobiota.
GACGAACGCUGGCGGCGUGCCUAACACAUGCAAGUCAAAGGAAAGCGGCUUCGGCCGGGAGUACUUGGCGCAAGGGUGAGUAAUGUAUAGGUAAUCUGCCCUUUGGACUGGCAUAACUCCGAGAAAUCGGGGACAAUACCAGAUGAUGCAGCGGAACCGCAUGGUUAUGUUGUUAAAGAUUUAUCGCCAAAGGAUGAACCUAUAUCCCAUCAGGUAGUUGGUAAGGUAACGGCUUACCAAGCCUACGACGGGUAGCUGGUCUGAGAGGAUGAUCAGCCACAUUGGAACUGAGACACGGUCCAGACUCCUACGGGAGGCAGCCUGAGACGCCAAGGCACACAGGGGAUAGG